Molecule: non-coding RNA, 706 nt
Organism: Cricetulus griseus (Chinese hamster)
Lineage: Eukaryota; Metazoa; Chordata; Mammalia; Rodentia; Cricetidae
Source: RefSeq, a predicted model, not a curated record
CAGUAUCUUGCGGUGACACCUAUUUAUGCCUGUGGUACCAUUUACAUUCCUGAUUUCCGUGGUUACUGCAUCUUGUGUGUUAAUAUCUGAAGAUUUGGAGAUUGGAAUAGCAGAAGAAAGAGAACAUGAGUUAUUACAUCAAAAUGUGAGCCAUCAGCUGUCCUCGCCAACUGUCUUUGUUCCACCAUCAAGAACUAUGACCUUCUGAAACUAAGGCACUCUUCAGGGCUACAGAAAGAGAAACCAGGACACUAACCCACCCUGAAACGUUGAACCUACAAUCUGUCCUGCUUGCCAGAUGUGCUGGGGCAAUGCUUGUACAGAACUUGUGAGAGUGGUCAACCAAAGUCUGGAUUAACUUGAGUCCCAAGACAUGAGAAGAAGCCCAUGCCAUACACUGGCUGAAUGGUGAGGAACCAGAACCUGGAGUAGAACCACACACAAUUAGGGGAGUCUAACUUGGAGGUCUCCAUCCAGGUGACUGGAGAAAAAAAUUCCUGUUUCCCCUGGGUUGCUCUUUGUUGAUGUGAUAAGAAGCCACUUUAGAUAUGGAUGAAAAUUCAUGGAACAUCUUGCAAGAAAUGCCAACAAAAUCUAGUUGAUUAGAAAUUCAAUGACUGUGGAGAGGUUAUAAAGCUGACUCUAUUAUAAAUUAUCAUGGGUACCUUAACCUUCCCAUUUGCAAGAAACUGCCGACUUUUGUGCA